This 74-nucleotide transfer RNA is filed under the name Sus scrofa (pig). It matches the Rfam family "tRNA". Rfam says of the family: Transfer RNA (tRNA) molecules are approximately 80 nucleotides in length. Their secondary structure includes four short double-helical elements and three loops (D, anti-codon, and T loops). Lineage: Eukaryota; Metazoa; Chordata; Mammalia; Artiodactyla; Suidae. The record is from Rfam by way of RNAcentral.
UCCCUGGUGGCCUAGUGGGUUAAGGAUCUAGCAUUGUCACUGCUGUGGCACAGGUUAGAUCCCUGGCCCAGGAA